CGCCUCUUGAAUCAGUAUAAGAGGUCCAGCCUGCCCAGUGACCCUGUUCAACGGCCGCGGUAUCCUAACCGUGCGAAGGUAGCGUAAUCACUUGUUCUUUAAAUGAGGACUAGUAUGAACGGCAUCACGAAGGUUAUACUGUCUCCUUUUUCUAAUCAGUGAAUCUAAUCUCCCCGUGAAGAAGCGGGAAUAUAACUAUAAGACGAGAAGACCCUAUGGAGCUUAAAACAACACAGCACUUGUCAAAAAACUAAACAAUUCCAGAAUUUUUAAUUUCUAGGCAACAUGACUAUAAGUUUUUGGUUGGGGUGACCGCGGAGUAUAAUAUAACCUCCAUGUUGAAAGAAUUUUAUUCUAAGCCAAAAAGUACAUUUUUAAGCAUCAAUAAAUUGACAUCUAUUGACCCAAUAUACUUGAACAACGAACCAAGUUACCCUAGGGAUAACAGCGCAAUCCACUUCAAGAGCUCCUAUCGACAAGUGGGUUUACGACCUCGAUGUUGGAUCAGGGUUUCCCAGUGGUGCAGCCGCU
This 531-nucleotide ribosomal RNA is filed under the name Peltophryne fustiger. RNAcentral's name for it is "partial 16S ribosomal RNA". It matches the Rfam family "Bacterial large subunit ribosomal RNA", at positions 1832 to 2563 of the family's 2925-position model. Lineage: Eukaryota; Metazoa; Chordata; Amphibia; Anura; Bufonidae. The record is from RNAcentral.